This 1128-nucleotide ribosomal RNA is filed under the name human gut metagenome. RNAcentral's name for it is "bacterial LSU rRNA". It matches the Rfam family "Bacterial large subunit ribosomal RNA", at positions 826 to 1980 of the family's 2925-position model. The record is from RNAcentral.
AUUCCAAUCGAACUCGGAGAUAGCUGGUUCUCCCCGAAAUAGCUUUAGGGCUAGCCUCGAUUUAGAUUACCGGGGGUAGAGCACUGAAUGGGCUAGGGGGCCACAAAGCUUACCGAACCCUAUCAAACUUCGAAUACCGGAUAAUUGAUGAUCGGGAGUCAGACAGUGUGAGAUAAGUUUCAUUGUCGAAAGGGAAACAGCCCAGAUCUACGACUAAGGUCCCAAAGUUCAAGUUAAGUGGAAAAGGAUGUGCAAUUGCGCAGACAACCAGGAUGUUGGCUUAGUAGCAGCCAUUCAUUCAAAGAGUGCGUAAUAGCUCACUGGUCGAGUGAUUGUGCGCCGAAAAUGUAACGGGGCUAAACUUGACACCGAAGUCUAGGCAGAAGGAAACUUCUGGGUAGGGGAGCAACGUGUACGGGCAGAAGCAGAAGCGGAAGCGACUGUGGACUGUACAGGAGAGAGAAUGCCGGCAUGAGUAGCGAGAGCAAAGUGAGAAUCUUUGCCGUCGAAAGCCUAAGGUUUCCUGAGGAAGGCUCGUCCUCUCAGGGUAAGUCGGGACCUAAGCCGAGGACAAUAGUCGUAGGCGAUGGACAAUCGGUUAAUAUUCCGAUACCGCCGAGCAACCGGAUGCAGUGACACAGAAGGAUAGGCAGAGCGUGGCGAUGGUAGACCACGUCCAAGCAGUGAGGCUGUUGUGUAGUGAAGUACGCACAACGUAAGGCUGGGCUGUGAUGGGGAACGAUUACGAUCGGUAAGCUGCUGAAUUCACGCUGGCGAGAAAAGCUGCUACGAAGCGAAGGCGCCCGUACCGCAAACCGACACAGGUAGGCGAGGAGAGAAUCCUAAGACGAGCGGGAGAACCCUUGUUAAGGAACUCGGCAAAAUGACUCCGUAACUUAGGGAGAAGGAGUGCCCAGGAAUGGGCCGCAGAGAAUAGACCCAAGCGACUGUUUACCAAAAACACAGGUCUGUGCGAAGUAGAGAUACGACGUAUACGGGCUGACACCUGCCCAGUGCCGGAAGGUUAAGGGGAAAUGUUAGGGCAACCGAAGCAUGGAACUUAAGCCCCGGUGAACGGCGGCCGUAACUAUAACGGUCCUAAGGUAGCGAAAUUCCUUGUCGGGUAAG